GAUGAACGCUAGCUACAGGCUUAACACAUGCAAGUCGAGGGGUAACGAGAGGAAAGCUUGCUUUCCUUGUCGACGACCGGCGCACGGGUGAGUAACGCGUAUCCAACCUGCCCCCAACUAGGGAAUAACCUUGCGAAAGUAAGACUAAUACCCUAUAAUUUCCUCAGAUGUCAUCUGACGAGGAAUAAAGAUUUAUCGGUUGUGGAUGGGGAUGCGUCUGAUGAGCUUGUUGGCGGGGUAACGGCCCACCAAGGCAACGAUCAGUAGGGGUUAUGAGAGGAAGGGCCCCCACAUUGGAACUGAGACACGGUCCAAACUCCUACGGGAGACAGCAGUGAGGAAUAUUGGUCAAUGGGCGGAAGCCUGAACCAGCCAAGUAGCGUGCAGGAUGACGGCCCUAUGGGUUGUAAACUGCUUUUAUACAGGAAUAAAGUUAGCCACGUGUGGUUAUUUGUAGGUACUGUAUGAAUAAGGACCGGCUAAUUCCGUGCCAGCAGCCGCAGUAA
This 506-nucleotide ribosomal RNA is filed under the name uncultured bacterium. Its description in RNAcentral is "partial 16S ribosomal RNA". It matches the Rfam family "Bacterial small subunit ribosomal RNA", at positions 28 to 523 of the family's 1533-position model. The record is from RNAcentral.